This 253-nucleotide ribosomal RNA is filed under the name uncultured bacterium. RNAcentral's name for it is "partial 16S ribosomal RNA". It matches the Rfam family "Bacterial small subunit ribosomal RNA", at positions 524 to 776 of the family's 1533-position model. The record is from RNAcentral.
UACGUAGGGAGCAAGCGUUGUCCGGAAUCAUUGGGCGUAAAGCGCGCGUAGGUGGCUUCGUAAGUCCGUUGUGAAAGUCGAAGGCUCAACCUUUGAAAGCCGAUGGAUACUGUGAAGCUAGAGUACGGAAGAGGCGAGUGGAAUUCCUGGUGUAGCGGUGGAAUGCGCAGAUAUCAGGAGGAACACCAAUAGCGAAGGCAGCUCGCUGGGACGUUACUGACACUGAGGCGCGAAAGCGUGGGGAGCGAACAGG